This 73-nucleotide transfer RNA is filed under the name Culex quinquefasciatus (southern house mosquito). It matches the Rfam family "tRNA". From Rfam's summary of the family: Transfer RNA (tRNA) molecules are approximately 80 nucleotides in length. Their secondary structure includes four short double-helical elements and three loops (D, anti-codon, and T loops). Further hydrogen bonds mediate the characteristic L-shaped molecular structure. tRNAs have two regions of fundamental functional importance: the anti-codon, which is responsible for specific mRNA codon recognition, and the 3' end, to which the tRNAs corresponding amino acid is attached (by aminoacyl-tRNA synthetases). tRNAs cope with the degeneracy of the genetic code in two manners: having more than one tRNA (with a specific anti-codon) for a particular amino acid; and 'wobble' base-pairing, i.e. permitting non-standard base-pairing at the 3rd anti-codon position. The record is from Rfam by way of RNAcentral. Lineage: Eukaryota; Metazoa; Arthropoda; Insecta; Diptera; Culicidae.
GUAGCCGUGGCUUACUGGUCACGGUGUUCGCUUUGCAAGCGAAAAGUCCUGGGUUCGAUUCCCAUCGGAUCCC